UAGUCAUGGGAAGGGUUAUCCGUAUAAUUUAUAAUCGGUAGUAGCCCGGGUUCGGGCAUUACAAAGGACUGCCAGUAAAGGGCCAAGCAGGGGCUUCAUUUAGUAUCCCAAAAAGCAGGGAAGAAGUUUAUUCGUGAAAAGAUGGGACGGGAGUUGACCGAAUCAAAUACGAAACAACAUAUUUGGAGAUUAUUAGCGCUUUGAAACUGAACUUCUACGCAGGGAUCUGAUUUGACCGGUCUAGAAAAGGUCAGUGCUGAACAAAGCUCCUAAGGUCCCCAUUCGGGGAUUUCCCCGUAAAAGCUAAGUCCUUACUUUACACAGAGUGAAGCUUCCGGCA
RNAcentral lists this unclassified non-coding RNA (340 nucleotides) under Hevea brasiliensis (rubber tree). The record is from RNAcentral. Lineage: Eukaryota; Viridiplantae; Streptophyta; Magnoliopsida; Malpighiales; Euphorbiaceae.